Molecule: ribosomal RNA, 491 nt
Filed under: uncultured bacterium
Lineage: Bacteria
Description: partial 16S ribosomal RNA
Rfam family: Bacterial small subunit ribosomal RNA
Source: RNAcentral
AGUGAACGCUGGCGGUAGGCCUAACACAUGCAAGUCGAACGGCAGCACAGUAAGAGCUUGCUCUUACGGGUGGCGAGUGGCGGACGGGUGAGGAAUACAUCGGAAUCUACUUUUUCGUGGGGGAUAACGUAGGGAAACUUACGCUAAUACCGCAUACGACCUACGGGUGAAAGCAGGGGAUCUUCGGACCUUGCGCGAUUGAAUGAGCCGAUGUCGGAUUAGCUAGUUGGCGGGGUAAAGGCCCACCAAGGCGACGAUCCGUAGCUGGUCUGAGAGGAUGAUCAGCAAAACUGGAACUGAGACACGGGCCAGACUCCUACGGGAGGCAGCAGUGGGGAAUAUUGGACAAUGGGCGCAAGCCUGAUCCAGCCAUACCGCGUGGGUGAAGAAGGCCUUCGGGUUGUAAAGCCCUUUUGUUGGGAAAGAAAAGCAGCAGGUUAAUACCCCGCUGUUCUGACGGUACCAAAAGAAUAAGCACCGGCUAACUUCGU